Long non-coding RNA from Triticum aestivum (bread wheat), 1625 nucleotides. RefSeq lists it as uncharacterized. The transcript is spliced from 6 exons. Lineage: Eukaryota; Viridiplantae; Streptophyta; Magnoliopsida; Poales; Poaceae. The record is from RefSeq and is a predicted model, not a curated record.
UCCCGGUCCACAGACCCGCACGCGAACCCUAGCGCUCCCAUCGCCGCUCCAGAUCCAGAUCCGCCACCCACCUCCCUCUCCCCUCGCCGCCGGUCUGCACCCUCCCCUCCCCUCCCUCUCCACCGCCGACUUCGUCUCCGCCAUCCCCCUCCCCUCUCCUUCAUCCCCCAUAUCCACUGGUCCAGGCGAGGGCAUGGCGUCCCUCCUCCUCCUCCGUGAUUCAUUCCCCUCCUCUGCCACCGCCACCCGACCUCUCUCCCUCUCUCUCCCGCACCACCACCGCCACGGACGGUGGCGCCACCGCCAACCGCUUCCCCAUCCAUGACGUAGCCUCCUUCUCCACGCCAGUAGGGGAGCCACCCUGCUCCGCGUGUGGUCCCGAAGUCCUUACUCGCCACCUUCCGCUGUAGGGCCACCGCGCUUGUCCCAGCCUUCCACCCCGUUCGGCUCCUUCGGCUCCGCCCCUGACCUCGCCAUCUUCUCCACUUCGACCACGACGCGGCAAGCGCAUCCAGGCCGUGCGGGCGAGACGGCGGCCGGAUCCAUGAUGGCGAGGACACGCAGCGGUCCCCGCCGGCCAAAUCAGGUCCAUCUCCUCCCACGGCUGAGUCAUUUUACUGGCGAUUUGCCUCGCACGGCUACGACCUCUGACCCCUUCUCAUUGAUUUGCUCGGGCGGCCACCUCUCCCACCAUUGACGGUGCGUGCUCAACGCCGAGAUCCGCCGCGCCAAGGCCAAGCUCCCCAAGGAGGAUCCACCCAAGCUACACGCCGGCCACGGCCCCCACCACCAGUGAAUCUUCUCUGACCCUCUACGUCCCAACCAGCGAAGGUGACGUCCUCACGCGGAUUCGCGUUCUCCUCCCAAAGCAGCCAUUCCCGCUGCCGCCUCCAAGUCCAGGGUGAUGAAGCUCCUUCUCCUCAACCACGCCCGAAACACCCUGUCCAGGUCCAGGGAAAUCAAGGCCAUGUGGAAGAGAGAAGAGGACCAUGGAGAAGAUGCUUUGCUCCACCUCCAACCCACCCUGCCUACUACUACAGGAAAAGGAUGCCAUGGAAGGUCUUCUUUUUUCUGUUCGGUCCUGCUUGUGCUUGUAUUCAAGCAGCCAUGUGUGUAUAAAAAAGGACAGUUUGAGCUAUUAGUUCAGAUCAUGGAAAAAUAGUUUUUGGAGGUGAUGAUCAAUCUGUCAUUUCUAGAAUAAGCAAGCUUUUAAGCUUUUGGAAGAACUGAAGGGCCAUGAUGCACCGGUUAGCUUCUGUGCCGGUGAAGCUUCGUGCUGACGAUGGCUUCCAAAGGUUGGCAGCAAGGUGUUUGAGAUGGUCUCCUUGUUGGUUCAUGAGGAAGAGGAAGUGAAGUCAUUGAUUUGUCCACCGAGGAAGAGGAAGCGUGAGGAAGCGUGAAGUCUUUGAUCUGUCCAGAGGGAGCUCUAGGCUCAAGAAGUUGGAAAAAGGGAACGCUUCAUCUUUGUAGCUAAUUAUACGUUCCUGGAUGAUGUAAAUGGUUGUUAUAUACCUCAUAGCAGCGCAUUUGUAGUUGUUCUAAAUUCCUGGAUGAUGUGAACUAUGGCAUGAUUGUAAUAUGUAUAAUAUACUCAUUUUCACUACAAAAAAGACACAUCCAUGACA